GGGUCGAAAUAACACUGUAGGAGUAGGAUGAGGCAGUUUUGGAUGACUAUGAAACACUACGCUGUUCUUCUGCCACUGCCUCCAAAAAAAGUGAGAGCUUCAAAAUUAUAAUAUCAUAAAUUUGCAUUUCAAUUUCUUCUCCAGAAAGAACCAAAUGCCAGCAUGGCAACGGUGUCGUUUACUCUCCAUCUCUGUCGUUUUGGUCGAAAUUUAUGCAAAACGCUCUUUCCUACUACUUCCUCUAUCACUCUUCUGAAUCCUCGUGGCCGGAGAAUUCGCCGGAGUAUCUACUUCUCCGGUUCCACUUUCUCCCGCCGUUUCUCAACCGUUGAAACAAGUUCCUCUUCCCGCGGUAUGAGAAUUUUGUUUUUCACAAGCUUCUUUGGUUUUAGUUAGUGUGUAAAUAAAUUCUUUCUCAAAAUUGAAAUUGUUUAGUUAUUUGUGCUUUUUUGCAGAUUUAGGUUAUGAAUUUGGAAUAGUAGAUGAAAAAUAUGAUGUUAUUGUUGUUGGA
Molecule: long non-coding RNA, 511 nt
Filed under: Trifolium pratense (red clover)
Lineage: Eukaryota; Viridiplantae; Streptophyta; Magnoliopsida; Fabales; Fabaceae
Description: long non-coding RNA (TPRA_LNC007495)
Source: RNAcentral